This 69-nucleotide transfer RNA is filed under the name Lepus californicus (black-tailed jackrabbit). RNAcentral's name for it is "tRNA-Ser". It matches the Rfam family "tRNA". From Rfam's summary of the family: Transfer RNA (tRNA) molecules are approximately 80 nucleotides in length. The record is from RNAcentral. Lineage: Eukaryota; Metazoa; Chordata; Mammalia; Lagomorpha; Leporidae.
GAGAAAGACAUAGUGGUUAUGCGGCUGGCUUGAAACCAGUCUUAGGGGGUUCGAUUCCUUCCUUUCUUG